CACGUAGUUAGCCGUGGCUUCCUCCUUAGCUACCGUCAUUAUCGUCACUAAGGACAGAGGUUUACAAUCCGAAAACCGUCUUCCCUCACGCGGCGUUGCUGCAUCAGGGUUUCCCCCAUUGUGCAAUAUCCCCCACUGCUGCCUCCCGUAGGAGUCUGGGCCGUGUCUCAGUCCCAAUGUGGCCGAUCAACCUCCCAGUUCGGCUACCGAUCGUCGCCUUGGUAGGCCGUUACCCCACCAACUAGCUAAUCGGACGCGAGCCCAUCUAAAAGCGGAUUGCUCCUUUGAUCUCAGAACCAUGCAGUUCCGAGAUGUUAUGCGGUAUUAGCGACCGUUUCCAGUCGUUAUCCCCCUCUUCUAGGCAGGUUGCUCACGCGUUACUCACCCGUCCGCCACUAAGUUUGCUCCCGAAGGAACAAACUCCGUUCGACUUGCAUGUGUUAGGCACGCCGCCAGCGUCUCCGUGUGCCACGGACGUCAAACUAC
Molecule: ribosomal RNA, 486 nt
Filed under: uncultured Oscillospiraceae bacterium
Lineage: Bacteria; Bacillati; Bacillota; Clostridia; Eubacteriales; Oscillospiraceae
Description: partial 16S ribosomal RNA
Source: RNAcentral